Molecule: non-coding RNA, 203 nt
Organism: Pelobates cultripes (western spadefoot toad)
Lineage: Eukaryota; Metazoa; Chordata; Amphibia; Anura; Pelobatidae
Source: the annotation of a GenBank genome assembly
AUUACAUGCACUUCUCACACACAUUUUUGGUGGUUGUUGUUUUGGUGAGGGGAGAUCAGCAUUUUAAUUCUUGAACCAAGGCUACACAAUGUCUUAGGCCAGCCCAGACUAAAAUUACCAUAAUGCUCCAGCAGUAUUAUUAUCAGUGCAUGAUGGCAGUUUUAGUUCCACAGCCUCUGGGAAAUCUAUUUUUGACGCACCCC